CAAACAUUAUUUUAAAGCAUAUAAAGCACAAAGAGUUAACUAUUUCAUAUCCUUACAUUCCCCUCUUUGAGAAAAAAAUUUGCUCAUAUUAUUGAUAAAAUCUUCCCAGGACAGAGAAACUUCCACAUGGUAUUUUCAGGGGUGCUAGUCAGUCCCUGCGGGACUUUCAUUAAUUUCUUCAACUCGAUUCCCAUGUGGUAAUUCCUAAGGCCCAGUUUUAAAGAUGGGUUGAUACCCUCCAGUGG
Molecule: non-coding RNA, 245 nt
Organism: Pelobates cultripes (western spadefoot toad)
Lineage: Eukaryota; Metazoa; Chordata; Amphibia; Anura; Pelobatidae
Source: the annotation of a GenBank genome assembly